This 194-nucleotide ribosomal RNA is filed under the name uncultured bacterium. RNAcentral describes it as "partial 16S ribosomal RNA". It matches the Rfam family "Bacterial small subunit ribosomal RNA", at positions 351 to 533 of the family's 1533-position model. The record is from RNAcentral.
GCAGUGGGGAAUAUUGCACAAUGGGCGCAAGCCUGAUGCAGCCAUGCCGCGUGUAUGAAGAAGGCCUUCGGGUUGUAAAGUACUUUCAGCGAGGAGGAAGGCAUUAAGGUUAAUAACCUUGGUGAUUGACGUUACUCGCAGAAGAAGCACCGGCUAACUCCGUGCCAGCAGCCGCGGUAGAAAUCUCUAGGAGU